RNAcentral lists this ribosomal RNA (235 nucleotides) under uncultured bacterium. RNAcentral describes it as "partial 16S ribosomal RNA". It matches the Rfam family "Archaeal small subunit ribosomal RNA", at positions 473 to 706 of the family's 1478-position model. The record is from RNAcentral.
ACACCGGCGAGCUCAAGUGGUGGCCAUUUUUAUUGGGCCUAAAGCGUUCGUAGCCGGUUUGAUAAGUCUCUGGUGAAAUUUCACGGCUUAACCAUGAGAAUUGCUGGAGAUACUAUUAGGCUUGAGGCCGGGAGAGGCUGGAGGUACUCCCAGGGUAGGGGUGAAAUCCUAUAAUCCUGGGAGGACCACCUGUGGCGAAGGCGUCCAGCUGGAACGGACCUGACGGUGAGUAACG